GGGGGCGCUUGGUUUCGACUUCGGUUGUCGAGACGGGAGAAGCGAGCCGUGGUUGCCGGAGUCCACGUUAAAGAGCCGGUACCAAAAACAAACGCGAACGACAAUCUCGCGCUCGCUGCUUAAUUAAGUAGCGCGUCCGUCCGGUCUCAGCCCUGUGGGCCGGUCACGGGCGUCAUCUAGCGGGGCUUACCCAUCGGGCUUUGUCAGGGGGUCCGGUGGGGACAUCUCACCUGACUGGAGCGGUCGCCGAGCGCCGGCGACGUGUGACCGCUCGAGAUCUUCCGCCGGCUGCGCUCGGAGAAGUCCCGUUAAGAACCCGAAGGACGAGGGUUCGAAUCCCUCCGCCUCCACGA
Molecule: transfer-messenger RNA, 353 nt
Filed under: Acidimicrobiales
Lineage: Bacteria; Bacillati; Actinomycetota; Acidimicrobiia
Also listed under: 1 other name
Description: CADDZP01 sp019243595 Standard tmRNA
Rfam family: transfer-messenger RNA
About the family: Bacterial tmRNA, also known as 10Sa RNA or SsrA, is named for its dual tRNA and mRNA-like properties. Its role is to liberate the mRNA from a stalled ribosome. To accomplish this part of the tmRNA is used as a reading frame that ends in a translation stop signal.
Source: RNAcentral